Small nucleolar RNA from Psammomys obesus (fat sand rat), 131 nucleotides. RefSeq annotates it as small nucleolar RNA SNORA17. NCBI's taxonomy places the organism in Eukaryota, Metazoa, Chordata, Mammalia, Rodentia, Muridae. The transcript has a single exon. The record is from RefSeq and is a predicted model, not a curated record.
CCUGCCUCUAGAGGCUUUGCAGGUGUGGCUGCUGUGUCACACACAGGUCAGUAGGUGGCAGAAGAGAAGAGAGACUGUGUACACUCAGGGUUCUGACCCAUCAACAUCUGAGUGUUUAGUAGCCUGACACU